AUUGAACGCUGGCGGAAUGCUUUACACAUGCAAGUCGAACGGCAGCACGGACUUCGGUCUGGUGGCGAGUGGCGAACGGGUGAGUAAUACAUCGGAACGUGCCCAGUCGUGGGGGAUAACGUAGCGAAAGCUACGCUAAUACCGCAUACGAUCUACGGAUGAAAGCGGGGGAUCGCAAGACCUCGCGCGGUUGGAGCGGCCGAUAUCAGAUUAGGUAGUUGGUGGGGUAAAGGCCCACCAAGCCGACGACCUGUAGCUGGUCUGAGAGGACGACCAGCCACACUGGGACGGAGACACGGCCCAGACUCCUACGGGAGGCAGCAGUGGGGAAUUUUGGACAAUGGGCGAAAGCCUGAUCCAGCAAUGCCGCGUGCAGGAAGAAGGCCUUCGGGUUGUAAACUGCUUUUGUACGGAGCGAAAAGGUCCUUUCUAAUACAAGGGGCUCAUGACGGUACCGUAAGAAUAAGCACCGGCUAACUACGUGCCAGCCGCCGCAGUAA
RNAcentral lists this ribosomal RNA (500 nucleotides) under uncultured bacterium. RNAcentral's name for it is "partial 16S ribosomal RNA". It matches the Rfam family "Bacterial small subunit ribosomal RNA", at positions 30 to 523 of the family's 1533-position model. The record is from RNAcentral.